RNAcentral lists this small nucleolar RNA (323 nucleotides) under Aotus nancymaae (Ma's night monkey). The record is from RNAcentral. Lineage: Eukaryota; Metazoa; Chordata; Mammalia; Primates; Aotidae.
UCACCUUGACCAGUCAUCAGUAGGCUUGUGUUUUUUAAGCUUUUUAUUAGAAAAUAAUUACAGUCAGUCUGUAAUCUUGGUGGGCGAUACAGAGUUACGUGUGUUCACUGUAAGGGCAGACCAACAAGAACUUUUUCCUACUUUUGAGCUAUCUCUUUUUAAUAGGGGUGAUUCUUCCAGUUGCUGGAGAGAAAUUGUGGUAACUGGAGGGAGAGAGUAGGAACAGGGCAUGUUCAGGGUAUCAUGGCCAAGGGUCCCAAAGGACUUAGCUUGUAUUAAGACCGCUGAGAGAUGAAAUGCAGAUCUUUGGUAAUCUGAUGGAA